Molecule: long non-coding RNA, 519 nt
Organism: Loxodonta africana (African savanna elephant)
Lineage: Eukaryota; Metazoa; Chordata; Mammalia; Proboscidea; Elephantidae
Exons: 3
Source: RefSeq, a predicted model, not a curated record
GGAGGAAAGCCAAGUGGGACCCUCAGGAAAUACUUUUUGUGCUGGCUGCCAUUGUCACGGGCACUUACUCAGUUUCAGUGUCAGCCUGUGGAGAAAAUUCAGAUUUCCUUUAGAAAUGAAGUUGAAAAGAAAUCUCGGGAAGAAUGUGCCCUUUCCUCCUGAAGCUGCGUUCUUAGUGAAGUGCUUACCCUGGUGCCUCGAAGUCCAAAGUUCAAGUGUUCCCACCUUGGGGAAGGAAUGGACUUGUCUGCUAGCUGGAAACCAAGCUGCAGUGCUCAGUCUUGUUCUUAGACUCAAAUUGGAGAAAGGUGUGUGACUGGACUGCAUCACCCUCACCAAGACUAGAAGACCCAGUUUCAGAAGAGGCAGACUUUGAGAUUCAUGGAACUCAGAAAAACACUGUACUUAUUAUUAGUUUUAUUAUAGCAAAAAGGAUUCAUAAGGUGAGGUCUGUAAGUAAAUAUAGUAUUCAUUUUUCAUUUUCCUUUCUUUUACCUUUCCUCCUCUCUCCCCCUUUCC